CGUGUGGUGCUGUGCAAGUUAAUGUUUAAUUUGGCAUAGUGGCUAUACGGCCCAAUUUGAGGU
This is a non-coding RNA of Catenovulum agarivorans DS-2, 63 nucleotides long. NCBI's taxonomy places the organism in Bacteria, Pseudomonadati, Pseudomonadota, Gammaproteobacteria, Alteromonadales, Alteromonadaceae. The record is from Rfam.